UGGUUAUGGCUUGGAUCCGCUUUCCAGGACUGCCGGGAUUUCUGUAUAAAAAACGGAUAUUAGAGGAGAUAGUAAACUUGGUCGGACAAGUGGUUAAACUAGAUAUCAAGACAGGUAGUGGAGCAAGGGGACAAUUCGCAAGAAUGGCUGUGUCGAUAGAUAUGGAAAAGCCACUUACCUCGCAAGUCUCGAUCAACGGCAGGAUGCAACGGGUGGAAUUCGAAGCUCUUCCCACGGUAUGUUUUUCUUGUGGCAACUAUGGCCAUCUAAAAAGCUCUUGUUUUUCUUCUUUGACAGAUCGGAACAUACACGGUGGUAAGGAGGACUCACCUAAGGCGAUGGACAAGGAAGCAGAUCCGGCGGCGGCGGCGGCAGACGCCUUUGGUCCGUGGAUGGUAGUCCAGCGCAAAUCAAGGCGCAAUCAGGCUGGAAAACGAAAUCAGAAGGCGAAAGUUGCGGAAGGAAAUCUGGCUGGCUCCAGAUUCGCGGCGUUAAACUCUCUAGACAAACAACCAGUAGAUUUGGG
This 526-nucleotide long non-coding RNA is filed under the name Gossypium raimondii (Peruvian cotton). RNAcentral's name for it is "long non-coding RNA (GRAI_LNC009950)". Lineage: Eukaryota; Viridiplantae; Streptophyta; Magnoliopsida; Malvales; Malvaceae. The record is from RNAcentral.